RNAcentral lists this microRNA precursor (202 nucleotides) under Prunus persica (peach). RNAcentral describes it as "miR397 stem-loop (ppe-MIR397)". Its record names the gene ppe-MIR397. The stretch from base 61 to 142 matches the Rfam family "MIR397 microRNA precursor family". Lineage: Eukaryota; Viridiplantae; Streptophyta; Magnoliopsida; Rosales; Rosaceae. The record is from miRBase by way of RNAcentral.
AAGGGUGGCUCAAAAUCAAUCAUGCAGAUGCAGAUUAUGAGAGCAGUGGAGGUUCCAGAUUGAAGAAACAUCAUUGAGUGCAGCGUUGAUGAAUUGAAAUUCUUUCGAAAUUUCAUCAGCGCUGCACCCAAUUAUGUUUCUAUCCAAUUUUGGCAAAGUACUGGCUGGCUUCUCUGGUCUUCUUCUUUCUUUUAGCCCUUUU